This is a long non-coding RNA of Brassica napus (rape), 731 nucleotides long. RefSeq lists it as uncharacterized. Lineage: Eukaryota; Viridiplantae; Streptophyta; Magnoliopsida; Brassicales; Brassicaceae. The transcript has 3 exons. The record is from RefSeq and is a predicted model, not a curated record.
ACCUGUAGGCUGGAAGAUUUAUGGCUUAAUGACAACCAGAUAGAAAUACUUGAAGCUAUCACAUAAGCUGUUGAAGGCUCUAAAGCUAACAACUUUCCCGGAUUCUCCAUAAAAUGGAUGCUAAUGUAACUGCAAACUGUGUUCAUCCUGGAAUCGUGAGAACGCGUCUCACAAGAGACCGAGACGGCCUCAUCACUGAUUUUGUCUUUUUCUUGACCUCUAAGCUUUUGAAGUCCGUUCCUCAGGCAGCAGCAACGACAUGCUGCCUAGCAACGAGUCCGAGAUUGAGGAACGUGUGCGGCAAAUACUUUUCAGACUGUAAUGAAGCUCGGACUUCUAAUCCGGAUCGUGCAAUCUUAAAGCUCAGAGACUAUGGACUGCUUCUGAGUUGUUGGUCACUCCAGCUUCCACUCCCGAUGUUUAUCAAACCUUUAACUACUUUUUAACCAACGAUGCUAUGUAUGUGUAAAGCCUUUCCAAGCUUCUUGGUUGUGAAAUGUUUUAGAUCAUUUGGAGGAGUAAUAAAGUUUAUAUGUUAUCACUAAUCACAUAUAUAGAUUGAAGAAAGGCAACACAGGCAGAUAUAAACAUUGGCACGCCAAUGUAUAUAUGUACCACAAAGACAACUAUUAAGUUAUCAUCAUAUUAAAAUCUAGGGGGCAUUAAGCACACGCCUAACAAAAAAAUAUUUAAAACACACUGUGUUAGUGUUAUCGGCUAAACAAGAGUUU